This 205-nucleotide microRNA precursor is filed under the name Oryza rufipogon (brownbeard rice). RNAcentral's name for it is "MIR812 microRNA precursor family". It matches the Rfam family "MIR812 microRNA precursor family". Lineage: Eukaryota; Viridiplantae; Streptophyta; Magnoliopsida; Poales; Poaceae. The record is from Rfam by way of RNAcentral.
AAUAACUCAAUUCCUGAGUUUCUGUGUCCAACAUUUGACUGUCCGUUUUAUUUGAAAAAAUUAUAAAAAAAAAAUUAAAAAAAUAAGUCACACAUAAAGUAUUAUUUAUGUUUUAUCAUUUAACAACAAUGAAAAUACUAAUUAAAAAAAUCAUAUAAGACGAACAGUCAAACGUAGGACACGAAAACCCAGGAAUUGAGUCUUU